RNAcentral lists this transfer RNA (66 nucleotides) under Penion ormesi. Its description in RNAcentral is "tRNA-Glu". The record is from RNAcentral. Lineage: Eukaryota; Metazoa; Mollusca; Gastropoda; Neogastropoda; Buccinidae.
GUUUCUAUGUUGUAAAUUGCACGUUAUAUUUUCAUUUUAAAGGAAUAAAGUUAUUUAUUAGAAAUA